Esox lucius (northern pike) is the source of this 912-nucleotide long non-coding RNA. The record is from Ensembl. Lineage: Eukaryota; Metazoa; Chordata; Actinopteri; Esociformes; Esocidae.
CAAAUUUUCACUUCAGCCAUUAACGUUUGAAGAAACGUUUGGAGGCCAAGUCAACACAUUGAAUCUCGUUGUUGUGUUCCUCAAAGCAGAAGUUCCCCAGCAGAACAUUGCCCAAAGCAUCACACUGCCUCCACCGGCUUUCCUUCUUCCCAUAGUGCAUCCUGGUGCCAUGUGUUCUCCAGGUAAAUUAUGCACACGCACCCGGCCAUCCACGUGAUGUAAAAGAAAAUGUGAUUCAUCAGACCAGGCCACCUUAUUCCAUUGCUCCGUGGACAGGUUCUGAAGCUCUCGGCAGUGGACAGGGGUCAGCAUGGGGACCCUGACUGGUCUGCAGCUAAGUAGUACCAUAUGCAACAAACUGCAAUGCACUGUGUGUUGCUGGUUCACCGCUUUUCCUUCUUUGGACCACUUCUGAUAGGUACUGACCACUGCAGACUAGGAACACCCCACAAGGGCUGCAGUUUUGGAGAUGCUCUGACCCAGUCGUCUAGCCAUCACAGUUUGGCCUUUGUCAAAGUUGUUCAGAUCCUUACGUUUGCCCAAUAUUCCUGCUUCUAACACAUCAACUUUGAGGACAGAACAGUCUUCCCAGUGUAUAUACAGCAUCAAUAAAAUCUUGCCUGGUGAAGUUAAUCAACACCGCUUACCACAUCGUGGGCAGUGAGCUCCCCUUCAGCGCUUACGAGAGAACGGUCGCACUUCUGAAGACGAGUGGAGAAGACGUUGGUUCUCAGUACCUCUCUGAUGUAGCUUGUUGAAGCUUGGAGGGUCCCGACGUGGAGAACUUCAACCCAAUGCCAAUAGUGAAGAGGUGGUUCAAGGAGGCGGACAGAAGGAGCUUACAGUAAAUGAAAGGCCAUUAAAACUCUGAUCUACUGGCCCAUAGGGCCAGUGGGGAUUUUUUUUUUUUUU